AGAAAAGGCAUGUUUGAGAUUCCCCAGCAAAACAGAAUAAAUAAACAAAUUAAAAUUUCUUACAUCUGUCUCACAAUUGAAGCCAGUUGAUGUUCCAUGACUGCAAGUCUUAAGAAGACUUACCAGCCAAUGUUCCUUGACUUGCUCAUUUUAUCUUACAAGCCAAUGUUCCAUGUUUGCAUCGGCUUCAAUAAGAGUAAGAGUAAUUUCAGAAUGUGCAAGUGGUUUGCAGCCCGAGCACAAAGGUAAAUCUUCAGUUUGCUCUCUAAACUGAGCAGCAAAAAGGUAAUCUCUUAUUGUCUCUACUAACAUUUAGAGAUAUAAAAACAAAUCAAACAUGAGGAAUC
RNAcentral lists this long non-coding RNA (347 nucleotides) under Jatropha curcas. RNAcentral describes it as "long non-coding RNA (JCUR_LNC002680)". Lineage: Eukaryota; Viridiplantae; Streptophyta; Magnoliopsida; Malpighiales; Euphorbiaceae. The record is from RNAcentral.